AUUUAAAUAGCUUAUAUAUAGAGCAUAACACUGAAGAUGUUAAGGAAAUGUGGAAUUUUUAAAUA
RNAcentral lists this transfer RNA (65 nucleotides) under Microconema clavata. RNAcentral's name for it is "tRNA-Phe". Lineage: Eukaryota; Metazoa; Arthropoda; Insecta; Orthoptera; Tettigoniidae. The record is from RNAcentral.